Molecule: long non-coding RNA, 1576 nt
Filed under: Elaeis guineensis (African oil palm)
Lineage: Eukaryota; Viridiplantae; Streptophyta; Magnoliopsida; Arecales; Arecaceae
Description: long non-coding RNA (EGUI_LNC058366)
Source: RNAcentral
UUCAUUUUUGUUGGGUCAUACAGCAACUACAUAGUUCAGCAUGGGGAUACUAAGGUCAAAUCGUAUUGCUGAAUCUCUUGAUGAGUUGGUUAAAACUAGUUAGUCUCUCUAUUCAUAUACAAGUCAUAUAUUACUCAUACACAAGCCAUAUACUAUAAUUUAGUCCUCCAUAGUAAGGUGUUCUACCCUUUAGGUUAAGGGACCACAAGUAAUCUCAUGCAUUUGGUUCGCACUUCUACACCUCCGUACUUUGUGAGGUGGUUUGGUACUAUUGACUGCUCUGCGUAAUAGUAUACUAAGCUGUUAGUGUGAGGUCUAACCUUAGUGAAGAAGGAACUCCACUCCAUUAUCCAUUACUACAAUCUCACAAGUAUGAUGCCAAAUCUCUCCGACAGUUGUAAGCAAGUUUAUUUGCCAUGUCCUAACAAAUUGCAUGUGCUUGGAGUAGAAUGAGAAAAAUUUAUGUCUGAUAUUUUUUAUAUACGAGUAGAAAAAUAUACAUGCAAAUGCAUGUGUAAAAGGGCAAUAUUACUUAAUUAUAAAGAUAUUAUUUAAUUAUGAAAAUUUGCAAAAUUAUAUAGCUAUAUUACUUUAGACAUCCAUGUUGCAAUUACACAUGUUCAAAUCAGUAAUCAUAUGGUUGUCAUGCUGUAUAUGAUUCUUCAUCUCUUUAUCACUGUAUAUUGCUCCACUAUAUAACAUCAUCAUUUUAGUGUGGCUGGAUGGUUGAUAAGUUUGAAUGGUCAACAUAAGUUCAACUUAAACCAGGAUGAUGCCAAAUAAUCUAAGUCAAACAUCACCAAACAUGUAUCUCCACCAUCAAGAAAAAGAGUUUGGAUCUAAUUCAAGGUUAAAAUGUAAAGAUCCCCUCUUAAUCAUGGCUAUCCUCUGCUGAACGAUUGUGAUUUAGAGGACUCCACAUGAUAUAUUGAAUGUUAGGCCACAUGAAAUUAUGUGGGGCAUUUCAAUCAUGAUCGUUGCACAAUACACCAUCUCAUAAAAAACUGUUAAUUAAGGUAUAGGCCUAAAAUAAUAGAAAGAGCUGAAGGAUUUUUGAGCUUAUUACCUAAUUACAUAAUGAGGAACUUUUGCAGGGCGAGUUAGUGUAGGUUGUAUUGGUUUCUUUUCAAAAUUUUGGGACUUGGACAAAGUUUUUUUACCCUUUUUUCCUGUUUUAUCCUUCAGGUUCUACUGGAUCGACCUUCUCUUUUGGUAUCGACCAGGGUUAACCUGGGUUAGGUUUGGGUGAGCUAUGAUUUGGCCAAUGUUAAUACACCAUUGUAAUUAGAUGAUCUAGAGACUACUCUUUUGAAGCCAAAGGAAAGAUGAUCAUCGAUGGUAAUCCUCUCAUCUCCGUUGCUAAUCUUAUAGCAAAAAAAAAAAUGUGUUGCCGCAUGAAACAUGCAGUUCAGACACACUGCCAUCCAACCAAAACCUCACCGGCAUGCUGAAUCACUCCCGCUCGCCUCCUCUCUCCCCUUCUCUCUCCUUAUUGCUCUCCUUUCUCCCUUCGUGAGCUCUCUCUUUUUCCAACUAUCUAUUUACAUAUCUCCCUUCUCCCUCUAUGCAUGUGGGG